UACGUAGGGUGCAAGCGUUGUCCGGAAUUAUUGGGCGUAAAGAGCUCGUAGGCGGUUUGUCGCGUCUGCUGUGAAAACUCGGGGCUCAACUCCGAGCUUGCAGUGGGUACGGGCAGACUAGAGUGCGGUAGGGGAGACUGGAAUUCCUGGUGUAGCGGUGGAAUGCGCAGAUAUCAGGAGGAACACCGGUGGCGAAGGCGGCAUCCUGGACCGGCAUUGACGCUGAGGAGCGAAAGCCAGGGGAGCAAACGGG
This 253-nucleotide ribosomal RNA is filed under the name uncultured bacterium. Its description in RNAcentral is "partial 16S ribosomal RNA". It matches the Rfam family "Bacterial small subunit ribosomal RNA", at positions 524 to 776 of the family's 1533-position model. The record is from RNAcentral.